Molecule: ribosomal RNA, 513 nt
Filed under: uncultured bacterium
Lineage: Bacteria
Description: partial 16S ribosomal RNA
Rfam family: Bacterial small subunit ribosomal RNA
Source: RNAcentral
GAUGAACGCUGGCGGCGUGCCUAAUACAUGCAAGUCGAACGCACAGCGAAAGGUGCUUGCACCUUUCAAGUGAGUGGCGAACGGGUGAGUAACACGUGGACAACCUGCCUCAAGGCUGGGGAUAACAUUUGGAAACAGAUGCUAAUACCGAAUAAAACUCAGUGUCGCAUGACACAAAGUUAAAAGGAGCUUUGGCGUCACCUAGAGAUGGAUCCGCGGUGCCUUAGUUAGUUGGUGGGGUAAAGGCCUACCAAGACAAUGAUGCAUAGCCGAGUUGAGAGACUGAUCGGCCACAUUGGGACUGAGACACGGCCCAAACUCCUACGGGAGGCUGCAGUAGGGAAUCUUCCACAAUGGGCGAAAGCCUGAUGGAGCAACGCCGCGUGUGUGAUGAAGGCUUUCGGGUCGUAAAGCACUGUUGUAUGGGAAGAACAGCUAGAAUAGGGAAUGAUUUUAGUUUGACGGUACCAUACCAGAAAGGGACGGCUAAAUACGUGCCAGCCGCCGCAGUAA